UAUUGGAAACGAUAGCUAAUACCCCGGAUGUCAUUAUAGUUAGAGAGUAAUGACUAAAGCUCCGGCGCUCUGGGAGGGGCCUGCGGCCCAUCAGCUAGUUGGUAGGGUAAUGGCCUACCAAGGCGAGGACGGGUAGGGGGCGUGAGAGCGUGACCCCCCACACUGGUACUGACACACGGACCAGAUACCUACGGGUAGCAGCAGCAAGGAAUAUUGCCCAAUGGACGAAAGUCUGAGGCAGCAACGCCGCGUGGAGGAAGAAGGCCUUCGGGUUGUAAACUCCUUUCCUGGGGGAAGAGAAAGGACGGUACCCCAGGAAUAAGUCUCGGCUAACUACGUGCCAGCAGCCGCGGUAAAACGUAGGAGGCGAGCGUUAUCCGGAUUUACUGGGCGUAAAGCGCGUGCAGGCGGUUUUCUAAGUCGGACGUGAAAGCUCUCGGCUCAACUGGGAGAGGUCGUUCGAAACUAGGAAACUUGAGGAUGGUAGAGGAGAGUGGAAUUCCCGGUGUAGUGGUGAAAUGCGUAGAUAUCGGGAGGAACACCAGUGGCGAAGGCGGCUCUCUGGGCCACUCCUGACGCUAAGACGCGAAAGCUAGGGGAGAGAACGGGAUUAGAAACCCCGGUAUUCCUAGCCGUAAACGAUGUCAACUAGGUGUAGGGGGUAUCCAACCCCCCUGUGCUGUAGCUAACGCGUUAAGUUGACCGCCUGGGGACUACGGCCGCAAGGCUAAAACUCAAAGGAAUUGACGGGGACCCGCACAAGCAGCGGAGCGUGUGGUUUAAUCCGAGGCUACGCGAAG
RNAcentral lists this ribosomal RNA (800 nucleotides) under uncultured bacterium. RNAcentral describes it as "bacterial SSU rRNA". It matches the Rfam family "Bacterial small subunit ribosomal RNA", at positions 148 to 966 of the family's 1533-position model. The record is from RNAcentral.